AAGAUUUUAUCCAUAAUUUCAAUGACAGAAGAUGGUUCUUGAAAAUUUUGUUGCAUGUUACUCCAACUGCAAGCUAUACAGCAAAAAUCAUGCAUCAGCCAAUAAUAUAUUGUGCUUGUAGUUUAUGUGGCAUACAUCAGCCAAUAAGUGCAUGGCUAAUUGAGAAGAGCAAAUGAAAGAAAGACAAGAAGAGCACAGUGGAACCUCAUAUUCCUUUUUUCUGAUCUUGUUUGUGAGUUUGGCUUUUUUUUUUGGGGGGGGCUAAUCAUAUUGUUCAAUAAUGAAUAUUGUACUUAGCCACAACGACACACAGUAAUAUAUCUGCAUAUUCCCAGUUUCUAAUUUGUUAGAUGCAUUCUUAUGUUUGCAGUCCUAUUCUCUAAAGUCAGACUAUUUGUGUAAUUGUUUGAAUAUUUUCUUAAUUUCUACAGACCAGUGGGAAACAAUAAGACUGUUAAUAAAUAAUAAAAAGACCA
RNAcentral lists this unclassified non-coding RNA (476 nucleotides) under Hevea brasiliensis (rubber tree). Lineage: Eukaryota; Viridiplantae; Streptophyta; Magnoliopsida; Malpighiales; Euphorbiaceae. The record is from RNAcentral.